RNAcentral lists this unclassified non-coding RNA (924 nucleotides) under Hevea brasiliensis (rubber tree). Lineage: Eukaryota; Viridiplantae; Streptophyta; Magnoliopsida; Malpighiales; Euphorbiaceae. The record is from RNAcentral.
GUCUGAUACCAUAUAGAAACUCAAAUGUUUUCGGAAAACUGAACUUAUACUGUUGAUAAGUAUUGGCGUUACAUAUAAACUGGAGUUGAGUACAAGUCUGAUAUAAUCUGUUAUAGAAAUAUUAUCACCUAAUAUAUGAGAUAAUUAUCUACCAAUACAUACAAGGGAUAAUAAAUAUACAAGAGAUAAACUUCACGAGAUAAAACUCUAUCAAUAGAUAAACUCUAUCAAGAUAUAAAACUCUAUCAAUGGAUAAACUCUAUUAUUUACAUGUAAACAAACUUGCAAGAAAACUAAAAACAGCUUUCCUUCCACCCACCAUACUCUUCUUCUUCACGGUUGCCAUUUUCCACCUUGAGGGUGAAAGUGACUCCAACUUGAAUCUCUCCAUUGUAACAUUGAUCAGAUUGAACAAUGCUAUACUUUUGAGGAUGAAGUUCAGCAGUUCCAUUAUCCACUCCUAAUUCCAACAAAUCCUUCACAUAUAUCGUAGCAUGGCCAAGCAAAUCAUCAGCAGAGAAGGUGUCCUUGUCCAUGAUUUUUAAAAUGAGCUUGUACUCUUCACCUUGCCCUGGAUAUUCCACCUUGAAUGUGAGUUUCUCAUUCCACACUGGAUUCCCACCUUGACCUCUGGCGACACUGCUCUCGCGCUCUUGGCUUUUGUACUUCACGAUAACAUAUGGAUCAAUCUUACCUAAGAAAUCAGUGCCUCUGAGGCCUUUUGCAUUCACCAGCUGCACUUCCAAUAGCCCAGUAGCCAUCUCCGGUUCUUGAAUCUUGCUUUAGGAUUGAAUAAGACACCUCUGAAGAUCAAGAAGAAGAAAUUUCUAAGGUAUAUAUAUAGAGCUUAAGGGAAAUGAGCAAGUGGAUUUCGAUAGAUACAGGAAAUUUCUUCUGAAAAAAAAUGUUAGUCAAAAGGGAGAA